AUUGAACGCUGGCGGAAUGCUUUACACAUGCAAGUCGAACGGCAGCACGGGGGCAACCCUGGUGGCGAGUGGCGAACGGGUGAGUAAUACAUCGGAACGUGCCCAGUCGUGGGGGAUAACGUAGCGAAAGCUACGCUAAUACCGCAUACGAUCUACGGAUGAAAGCGGGGGAUCGCAAGACCUCGCGCGAUUGGAGCGGCCGAUGGCAGAUUAGGUAGUUGGUGGGGUAAAGGCUCACCAAGCCUUCGAUCUGUAGCUGGUCUGAGAGGACGACCAGCCACACUGGGACUGAGACACGGCCCAGACUCCUACGGGAGGCAGCAGUGGGGAAUUUUGGACAAUGGGCGAAAGCCUGAUCCAGCCAUUCCGCGUGCAGGAUGAAGGCCCUCGGGUUGUAAACUGCUUUUGUACGGUAACGAAACGGCCUUUUCUAAUACAGAGGGCUAAUGACGGUACCGUAAGAAUAAGCACCGGCUAACUACGUGCCAGCAGCCGCGGUAAAGUAU
Molecule: ribosomal RNA, 506 nt
Filed under: uncultured bacterium
Lineage: Bacteria
Description: bacterial SSU rRNA
Rfam family: Bacterial small subunit ribosomal RNA
Source: RNAcentral